UUAAUUUAAUUGACCACACAGAAGGAUUUUAAUAACUCUGUUUCCACAUCAGUUAAAAACAGAAUGGUUCCAAGAUGGCGACCAUCCGUUUUGGAGAAGAAGCUGCAGUUCCGUCUGCUGACCGGUGGAGGCGGGAAAGAGUCACCAACAGUAGAAGAAGACGAAGAAGAAGAAGAAGAAGAAGAAGAUGAUGAAGAUGCAAACACACUCCCACAGUGUCUGUACAGACUUUAGCAUUAAACUGUCGACUUUCCGUUAGAAAUUAAAUUCUGCAUCGAUUAACCGACGAACUGUGGAGUUAUGAGACUGACGGAAACGUAUCCGACGAGUUAACCGACGAGUUUGACUCUUAAACGUGUUGAUUGGUCGGUUAACUCCACAGUUAGCCUAGCCUGCUAGCUCCCCGUGCUAACAUUAGCAGUUAGCUUUAGCUUCGACAUGGGACGAGGAAGGGGACCGACCCGGAGCCGACCGCCCAUGGGACCGCCGGGCGAUGACGGUCCUCCGUUCGACAUGGGCCCGAUGGGUCCACCGGGGUGGGGCCCUCCACCGCCGGGAGGCUGGGGCCCUCCGCCGCCUGGUGGAUGGCCUCUGCCGCCGGAGGAAUGGGGACCACCGCCGCCCGGAGGUUGGGGCCCUCCUCCGCCUGGAGGAUGGGGGCCACCGCCGCCUGAAGGAUGGGACCCGAGAGACUUUCCACCGCGGGGCUGGGGACCGAGAGGACCAUCGCCGCCGCCGGGCUGGGGCCGGCACCCCGACGACUGGCUGCCUCCUCACCCCGACGACUGGAGACCUCCGUACCCCGACGACUGGAGACCUCCGUACCCCGACGACUGGAGACCCCCUCACCCUGAUGACUGGAGACCUCCACGGCCUGACUGGAGACCUCCUGAGGACUGGGGACCCGACAGGCCGUUCCCACCUCCUGGCUGGGGACCCCCUGGUUGGGGUCCGGAUCGUCCCCCUGGUUGGGGACCGGAUCGUCCCCCUGAGCCGUGGGGACCCGAGCCCGGUCCCCCCGGACCCGUGCCACCGGUGCCCCCGCUUCCUCCUGUCGGGAUCCCCCCUCCGGACCCUGCAGUCUACGGCCCGAUGCCCCUCCCGCCGCCGCCGCCCUGCGUGCCUCCGGUCGGCUUCCCGGCGUACCCGCCUCCAGGCUGGACGGGAGAGACCAUCGUGGAGCAGCCGAUGCCCAACCCGCCGCCCGACCAGCCGGAGUGGAUUAAAGCUCUGAUCUCAGCGCCGGUCACCGAGACGGCUGCGGGGGAAGCUAAGAAACCUAGCGAGGAGCCGAGCGUCACCAAGGCAGCUGCUGCUGAACCCACUGCCGUCCAGAAGCCCAAAUCCAAACCCAAAUCUAAACCUAAACCCAAACCUGAUACCUCCAGGACCGCCAGAGCGCUGGGCCUGCUGGGAAAACGCACCUUUGAUAAGCCUCCUCCAGGACGGUCCACUGGCAUCAUCUCUUUUAUCGGGCCGUCGUUCGGCUACAUUGAGAGAGAAGAUCUGAAGAAGUUCACCUUCAGCUUUGACGCCUUCUUUGGAAACCCUAAAGCCAUGCAGCCUGGCGUCAGAGUCCACUUCACCGCCUGCAAGGAGAAGCAGAACAGUCUGAUAGCGACAGAUGUGAAAGUGGCUCCAGGCGGAACAGAGAACGUGGACACGGAGAUCUACGAGGCAGUGGUCAGUCAGCCCAUCACGGAGCCUCAGCCCGGCGAGCGUCAGUACCAGGGGCAGGUCCACGUGGACAUCGGGCCACUUAGGACAAACCUGACGUUUGACAGGAAGGACAGCACGGUGACGCUGCUGAAGAACGACCAGGUGCUCAUCAACCUGCUGACCGACAUCGUCACUGAGAAGAGAAGAGCGACCAACAUCAAACCCAAAAUCCCCUCCACCUUCAGCUACACCCACGAGGAGAGGGAGGAGGGUGUCAUCAUCAGCCUGACAGACAAUGAAGGCGUCAUCAAGUCUGAGAAACACGGCGAGCUUCCCUUCGACAUCAAGGAGAAUUUCAGUGAUGUUGAGUUCACUGCCGAGGACAUCAGCGAGGAGGUGGAGUUCACCAUCAUCAUGCUGAGGGCGGGGAAGAGGGCCAUCAGGAUCCGACGGGUGAAGGAACCCCUCCUCCUGACGCUUUCUGCCGCCACCGCUGCUGCUGCUGUCUCCGAGGAGGCUGCCGGCCAAAACACAGACGACGACAACGACAAUGAUGACGAUGACGACGAAAACAGCGAGAAAGACACUUCUCCUAAAGUGACACCCAUGGUGAAGCUGGAGCUGGGGCCCAACAUGAGGCUGGACCCAGAGCUGUACGAGGGCAUCGUCAGCCAGCCAAUCAUAGAGCCCACGCCCACCAUGCAGGGCUACCCGGGUCAGAUCCACGCCAACAUCGGCCCUGUCAGGACCAACGUGACCUUUGACCACAGGGACUGCGGCGUCACGCUGCUGAAGAACGACCAUGUGUUGAUCAACCUGCUGGUAGACAUGGUGACAAGGAAGAGGAGAGCGGCCAACAUCAAACCCAAAAUCCCCUUCACCUUCAGCUACACCAAAGAGAAGAGAGAGCUGGGCAUCAUCACCUUUCUGGGUCCUGAAGAAGGAAUCAUCAACUCCGAGGACCACGGCGAGCUUCCUUUCGACAUCCAUGAGAACUUCAGUGAAACCAAGUUUAACAGCAGCGACAUCCACAAGGAGGUGGAGUUCACCGUGGCCCUGGUGAAAUCAGAGAAGAGAGCGAUCAGGCUGAUGAGGACAAAGAGGGUCGAGGACCAAAUCCUGGAGGAGCAGAAGAGACGGGAGGAAGAGGAGAAGAGGAAGAGAAGGGAGGACGAGGAGAAGAGGAAACAAGAGGUUGAGGAGAGGAAGAGGAGGGAGGACGAGGAGGCGGAGCAACAGAGAGAGGCCGAGAGGAAGAAGAGGGAGGAGGUGGCGGCGGCGCUGGCAGCGGCCCAGUGCAAGUGGACGCCACUUGGCUUCAAGGUGAGGAACCCUGACACGAUGGACGAGAUCAGCAAGGAGCGAUUCGAAGGCACUGUCCUCAAAGCCGUCUCCAAAUAUCCACGUAAGGAGAUCAAGAAGGAGCCCGAGGCGAACAAGGAGGAGCCAGGAGGAGGAGGAGGAGGAGGAGGAGGACAAAUGCUCCCUGGACAGGUUAAAAUCAAAGUUGAGAAAAUGGAUGACGACCAGAAGGAAGAGGAGAAGGACAUACCUGAAGGAGAUGGAGGACAGGAAGGAAAGAAGGAGCCUGAGGAUGAGGAGGUGAAGAAGAACCAGUCGGCUGAAACAGCAGCUGGGAGAAAACCCGACCCAGAGAUGGGUCGACUAGUGAUGACCAUCGACGGUCAACAGAAGCAGCUUCCCUUCGGUCCCAACGACCUGCUGACCACCGCCACCAUGCUGGACGGAGACAAGGUGCGUUUCAACAUCGCCACGCAUCAAGGGACCAAAGAGGAACGAGCGACUUUCGUGGAAAUUCUCCCCGACUCCUUCGAAGAGUCCAUUGAACAACGCCGACACGGCAUCGUCAUCGAGUUCAGCGUGGACUCCGGGCUCAUCAAGUGCACCCAGAACCCUCAGCUGUACUUCCACAUGUCCGAGGUGAUCGAGAAGAAGAGACUGGAGCUGAACGAGAAGGUCGAGUUCAGUGUCGUCCCGCAUGAGACAGCAGAGGGCGGGAACCAGGCCAUCAGGAUAAAACGUUUCACCGAGAGCGUUUUCUUCCCUGUUCGGAAGUUGGGAGGAGUCGGUGCAACCAAAGGGAAGAUGACCAUCAAGCUGGCAAAAGCUUCAGAAGACACUGAGAAAUUAAAACCCGAGACAGACAAGCUGAAGGCGGUGGUGAAAAAUCUUAGAGCGCAGGACAGUAAGACCAGCGUCAGCAGAAGGGACUACUGUGCCAGUCGCCGUAGAUAUGGCAGGAGCAGAAGUAGGAGCAGGAGCAGAAGUAGGAGCAAAAGUAGGAGUAGGGCCAGAAGUAGGAGUAAAAGUAGGAGCAGGAGUCCGCCAAGAGAUCAGUUUGGACGUGUACCCAAAAAGAGACGCAGUCCCAGCAUUGACCGUGACCGUAAAAGCAGCAGGUUCAGGCGAAGCCAAAGCCAAGAGAGGCUGAGGAAGCCCACCAAGAGCCGCACUAAGAGCCGCAGCAGGAGUCGCAGCCGAAGCAAGAGCUCAAGCAGGAGUCGCAGCAAGAGCCGCAGCAGGAGCAGGGAGAGGAGCAGGGAGAGGACCAAGGACAGGACCAAGGACAUCAAGAGGAGGAGCAAAAUCAGCAGAGACCGCGAAGAAAGUCACAAGAGGAGGAGGGAGUUAAGCCCUCCUCUCAGACGUGCUGGAGUUGUGGACGACGAGCUUGCAAGGAAGAAGCGGGAGCUGGAGGAGCUGAACGACAUGAUUGCCUACAAGAAGUCACUGGUGGACCCUGGACAGAGAACAUGCAUAGACUAUGACCACGGCAGGAUCACUGUCCCACUCACUGAGUACAAACCAGUCCGGUCCAUCCUGAAGAAACGACCAGAUGGACCUGAUUACCACCAUCGCCCUCAGCCCUAUGACGAUGCGUAUUAUGACCGGCCAUACAGUCCUUACCAAGAUCGACGCUACAGUGACCACUACAGUGAUCCGUAUGCCAGUCGUUCCUACCCUGAUCGCCCGUAUGGGGAGCGUCCCUACAGUGACCGCCCUUAUGAAAGUCGUCUCUAUGGUGAACCUUCCUAUAGUGGCCCUCCGUCUGCCAGCCAGCGUUACACUGAUCGCUACGAUGUUUAUGAUGAACCCUAUGACGAUCGCUACUAUGAUCCAGCUUAUGCGGACCGACCUUAUGAUGAUCCGUAUCACUCUGUCAGACGGAGCCAAUCUCCAGAACCCCAUGGUCCCUCACCUUCGUCCCAGCCCGGCCAAGUUCCUGCUGCUUCCACCCAACCUUCGUUGAUGCAUACUGCUGCCACUUCAUCUCCCCAGCCCCAUUUCAGACCUCCCUCUCCCACAGAACCUCCUCCUAGAAGCCCAUCUCCCAAACUGAAGACCACAAUACCACACCAGGCACCUCCUACUGUGAAACCACCCCUCGAUCGCUUCCUUGACAUGCUUAAUAAAAAGGUGGAUGCUGAGAAGGAAGCAGAACCUGUUCUUGUGAAUGAUGACCUUCUGCCUCAUGAGCGGGCACUUCAGGAUGGCAGGGGUUUCUCUCGGAUUGUGGGACUGGCUCAAGAGCAGCCCAGCAACAGUCUUGCUCUAGAAGCGAUAAAGACAGAGCUAAGCCCUAAAAGAUCCUCAGUAGAAAGAUCAGUAGAGGAACCAAAGAUCAAGACAGAACCCUACGACAAGAUUCAAAGUCUGCUCCGUACAAUUGGCCUGAAGCUGAGUACAGGAGAUAUGUCCAAACUGGCCAGCAGAGCCCAAGAGAAAAUCUACAGCCCAAAGUCCUCAUCCAUAGAAAGGGAGAUGUUGUCAUCCCCAAGGGAGGAACGGCAGACAAGUAGAACCGGUUCUGUUGAAUCAGAUCACAUCCAUUCCCCCUCCCCUGCCAGGUCCUCCAGUUUAGAGCCACUCAGCAGAUCUAAAGCUGUCUCAGAGUAUGAAGGAUUCCUGGACCAGCAGGAGUUGGAGGCACUUAAGAAGGCACAACAGCUGCAGAGUCUCACCAAGACAAUGGGGAGCACACCCUCCACCACUCCUCCUCCGAAACCUCCUCCUGGGCCUCCGCCUACCCACUACCAACAUCCAUCCCCACCAGUGAACUGGCCCCUUGGAGGCACUACCCAGAUUCCUCCAGAACAGGGCUCCAGCAUGGGUGCACCAGCUCCUCCUGUAGCUGGUCAGCCACCACGAGUUGGACUUCCUGCAGGACCUCCCCCUGGACCUCCUCCACGGCGUCCUGGACAGCCUCCAGGACCUCCUCCUGGGCCUCCACCCCGGCGCCCUCUUGGACAACCUCCUUUUGCUCCACCCUCCAGCCAUACAGCCUUUUCUUUCGCUGGCCAGCCUCCUGCAGCUCCACCCCUUAAAUCUUCCAGUCCUUUGCAGCCUUUAACCACUGCUGCCGGAGUAUCACCACCACCAUCAUCGACAGCUGCAGCAUCAAGUCCCUCAAAUGAUAAUGAAUCAACCAUCUCUACGACAGUGGCCAGGUGCCUGAAGGUCAUAGAGACAGUGAAAUCUCUGGCUGUACAGCCACCAGCCAAACCGGUCAAAUCAGUUCAGUUCAGUUUACCCACUGUCUCUCCACCAGUCUCCAGUCAUCAGACCUCAGUGGAGACAGAGGAGGACAUAAAGAUCAAGCAGAAGGAAAAGCUGGAUUUGUACAACCAGAGGGUUUUGGAAAAGAGGGAGCAGCAAUACAAAGAUUGGCUAGCUCGCAGGAAACAGAGUGGAGAGUGGAAGGAUGUCCCACCAAACCCCCCAGGUAUCAGAUCUUAUUCAGUUACAUACAUACAAUAUAACGACCAACCUUUGAAUUACAGGAUUAUGUGAUGUAAGCACUGAUCAGCUGAAACAUUAAAACCACAGAUGAAGUGAAUUACAUUGAUCGUUUCAUUACAACCCGAUGUUCCUCUGGGAAACUGUUGGUCCUGGCAUUCAUUUGGAUUCCACUUGACAUACUUCACCCACCCAAACACUAUUGCAGACCAAGUACCAUCACUCGUGGCAGCGGCACUUAGAUGGCAGUGGCCCCCUCAGAGCAACACCAUGAAAAUCUGCUCAAGAAUCACCCAAGGAACGGGACAGACCUCGCCUUCAAAUUCUCCAGAUCCCAAACAGACCAAGCAUUCAUGGGAUGCGCUGGGACCCCAGAGGUACUGCUGAUCCUGAGUCAGGCCUCCUUGGAUCAAACAUGGCUCUGACCUGUCAAAGCAUAGGCAGAGGAACUCUGGGGAUGUUCUGCAUUGUCUGGCACCAGGGUGUUGGCGGCCAAUCCUUUGAGUCCUGUGGGUUGUUAGGCGGCAUCAUGGCACAUCCCAUGGAUGUUGGAUCAGAUUGGGAUCUGGCGAAUUGGAGGUCAGGGGGAUGCCUUGAGCUCUUUGUUAUAUUCCUCGUGCCAUUCCUGUGCAGUUUUCACAGUAUGGCAUGGUACACUUCACUACUUCACUUCACCUGUCAGAGGUUUUAACAUUUUGACUGAUAGGUGUAAGGUUAUGUUCUUGGCGUGCUCGACAUUAAGUAACAGCUGCAUGCUAUUUAUGGUCCCUUUAGGGCUAAAGAUGAACACGCUGUUUUCUUCUGUGACUAGACAGGUAUUUUGAGCAAGUUAAAAUAGAUUUCUACCUCUCAGAUGUGGUUACUCAGUUAUUUGAGUAACCACAUCUCUGGAGAUACCGUAGAAAUGUUAAGAAGCUAACAUGAUCGAAGUAUCACCGAGCUCUGUUUGGAUCUUACUAUGAUUAAGAAGGCCUAAUUACCCCGUCAGGCCUCGUGGUAGACACCAGUCUAGUGCGGUUUCUGCCUCUCAGUUGAGGUGGUCUUGCAGUCUCACCGUUGAUUCCCACAAGGUAGGAAGUGCUUUAGAAUUCAGCACAGGAUUUCACUCAACGGCCGAAGCUACACUAAUGUCUCGUGGAUUAUUAUAAUGUAUCUUUAUUUAUUCACUCUGUGAUAGAGAUCAACAGUUAAAGCAAGAAGGUUUGUCCUGGACAUGGCCUUUCUUGUGCUCUCCCAGGUCAACAAACGUGUGGUUGCAUUAUUAAGGAGCUGCAGUCAGCUACAGCAGAACUUCUGACGUAGUAACAGAGCUCCCGCACAUAGAUACUGCUACACCUCGACAUGGAGCCAUAAAACUGUCUUGAGGUUACCUAGCCUUAACGUGCAUUGCAGUGCUAUAAACCUCUGUCAUUCAUCUGCCGCGCUCGUUAGCCGAGCCUAGUGGCUCGCCCCAGCGAUCAAGAAAAGAAGCCAACUGCAGUCUCAACUCCACAAAGUAACAUCUUUUUCCUCUUCAUAUGGUGACACCAUUGGUAUCUAGAUCAUGAAGGGUUCAGAUAGACGUGUAUUUAGUAAGGUAAAAUACUGUUUGAAAUUUCUAGAUGCCAGUGCCGAUGCAAUAUGAGUUUCGGUCCUGAUACCGACACUGUAUUUUCUGAUACUUGGUUAAGGUUUAAGUAAACUAAACUAUGAAAUUGAUCAAAGGUACCUGACAGUUUUCAGUACUUUAUAGGAACAUUUUGGGCAUUAAUAAAAAAAUGUUCAAGGUAUGACACCCAGUCCUGGUAGUUAGCUAGACAUGUAAUUACUCUACUACUUUUCAAGCAAGGUAGUUUCAGUAGGUUUGGGUGUUCCGUUUCCAGAGUAAUUAUUGUUACACUCAUCGGUCAGCGGUUACCCACUUCUACAGAGUCUGAGCCAGGUCACAGUAAAGCUGUUAAGGGUAAGUCAAGUCAGCAGUGUAGCUGUGAUUUCAGGAUAUCCAGAAAUGUGACAUUUUAACAGAAGAUCCAGAAGACUCCUCGUCAUCGUGGCCAUGAAAAGUAAAGCCUUUCUGAUUCCUUUGCAGUGACAGAAGUUAGUGUUGUACACGUUUGGAUAUCCAUUAUCAAGACUAUGAUUCUAUUCCGUUGGUAUUUGUUAGCAGUGUUGUAGUCCAGUCACCAAACCUCGAGUCCAAGUCGAGUUUCAGCCUUCAGUUUGAGCCCAAGUCCAUGUCACCGAAUUGAUUAAUGCAAGGCCAGAUUAGAGUCGUCAGAAUAAUGUUGAGCGGCGGAGUCAUGACCAAGUCCCUGAGGUAAGGAUGGCAUGUCUGAAGACAUUUCCACAUCACUGAAGACAUUUUGGAACUGUAGACGGGCUUCUUAUUUUUAUCCGGCAGAUUACGUCAGCAAUCGCUGGUGAUGUAGCUUCCAAUCUAUGACACUAACGUUAGCUCAGGAAGCUAACGUUGAAUGCUUUCAACCUCAUGUUUCGGUCAUUGGUCAGAUAUCUUUAACUUUGACAAAAUCAUUAACACAGUAAGUGGUAAAUUUUGUAUCUGCAGCCAGUAAAUACUACUUUUGAAAGAUAUGGUCAAUAUGAAGAAUAUGAUGAGUGAUGUUACCGUAGCAUCGUGUCCAAGCUAAUUUUGUUAAAGUCUAGCUAAAGUAUAUCAUAGACAUAUCAACCUAUAUUACCCUCUCAACAUUAUAACUGUAAACUGGGACCUUUGUAUCCUGAGCUGUGAACUAGCUUGUCCUUUUAGUCUGAAGCUGAUGUUAGCUCAGGAAGCAAAGUUGAGAGCUUUCAUCGCCAUGUACGGGGCGUCGGUCAGAUACUGUUAACUUUGAUAAUAUUGAUAACACAGUAAGUGAUCAACCCUGUGUCUACAACCAGUAAAUGGUCAUUACUAAGAAUAUGUGACGUUACUGUAGCAUCGUGUCCAAGCUCAUUUUGGUAAAGUUUAGCCAAAGUCUAUCCCACAUGUAUCAAACCUAAUUACCUUCUAAACGCUGUAACUGUAAAUUAUGACCUUUUGUAUCCUGAGCUUUGAACUAGCUUGUCCUUGCAGUCUGAAGUUAACAUUAGCUCAGGAAGCAAGCAAGAGCUUUCACCCUCACGUCCGGGUCGUUGGUCAGAUAUCGUUAACUUUGACAUUGACAUUAUACAGUAAGUGAUCAAAUCAAUACCUACACCUACUUUGAAUGAUAUGGUCAACAUUAACAACAUGUUGAGUGACGUUAUGUAGCAUUGUGUCCAAACUAAUUUUGUCCAAAAUUGUAUAAGUGUAGCUCAGAUAUUUCCCAUAUGUAUCAAACUAAAUGACCUUCUAAACGUAAUAACUGUAAAUUGGGACCUUUUGGAUUCUGAUCUGUGAACUAGCUUGUCGUUUCAGUUUGAAGCUAAUGUUAGCUCAGAAAGCUAACAUAGAGAGAUUUUACCACAGGGGUCAAGUAUUUAAUGUCAUGGUAGCUAUUCCAUCAUGGGCAUAUCCUUUAAGUAAUAUUACCAAGAAUCUCGUCCAAGCUAAAUAGGUUUACUUUACAAUAAAGUUAGCAUAUCACAUGAGUAUUUUAAGCAUAUUAAUUUUUUGGAUUCUGGGCUGUGAAUUCCCUUUUCUUUUCAGUCUGUGAAAGAAAGAACGACCUACGCUAGCUCAGGAAGCUAACGUUGUAGGUUUAACAUCAUUUAGGUGUCAGAUGGAUAUCGUUAGCUUUGGCAGUUUGAGGCACGACUCACUGUAGUCUGUCAUCGGUAUGGUAAGUAACUCUGUAACUCUAAGUGACUGUGGCGCCACUUUUACAUGUAGUGGUGAUUAUUCUUAACCAAAAUCUAUAAAGUAAUUUGCAGCCUCCACAGGCCAAAUUUUUCCACGUUUUAAUAAGUUAAUUUAACAAGUGUAAUGCGUACGUAUUUUUAACUACAGUACCUGUAAAUGGGACCCUUGAAAUUACGCGCUUUUAACUAACCUGUCAUUUCAGUUUGAGAGCUAAUGUUAGCUCAGGGAGCUAACAUAGAGAGCCUAUAGCAUUGUAUCAUUAUUGUUAUCUUUAGUAGUUCGUUAUUUACGUUUAAGUUUUGAGUCAAUGACUCAGGUACUCAGAUUAGAUUUGAAUGUGAGACCACGAUUCAGGAGGUUCUUUGCUAGGUCAUUGUUCCUGUUCAUAACACGUUUCGAUGGUUUAUAAUUCAGAAUACGAUGCUAACAGGUAUUAGAGGCAUCGUUGGGCUCAAGGAUGUCACCCAGAUUAUGUUUUUAGUCAAUUUUUUGCUUUUGUUUCAGUCUGAAUCAGCACAAACUCCGACUGUAGUGUCUCAGUCGGUGUUUGAACUCAGUUCCAUCAUCCAAACUUCAGUAGGCCAUCCGUCAUUCCUCUCACUUCUGUGCAUUUAAAUCCGCCGUGAUCACACAGCGAGUCUCAUCUUUGCUUUUACAUGUGCUGCUCAGGUAACUCCUGCUUACAUGUCACAGUCCUGUGGCCGUCACAGGACAAACAAUCAGACUACCAGUUUAGAUCAGAUUGAGGUGGAGACAAGGGGAUCCAGUAUGGAGUCAGCGAACAGAAAUGGAAAAUGAUAAAUGACCUAAAAAAAAAGGUGUAAGAUGAUUUUUUUUUAAAUGUUACAGAUAGAUGGGCCAUUUAAUCAACUUUUCAACCACCCAUCAGUCCAUCACCAGCCUACCAAUGCAGCACGCCCGUCACCAGCGAGCCCAAGAACGUUUGGAUCUGUGGUCAUUCGCUGGUGUACUGGGCCGAGUCACGGGCCAAGUCUCCGGAGGUAGGUAUGCAGCUGGGCAUGGACCCCAGCAAGGUGGCCAUCUGGU
Molecule: non-coding RNA, 11224 nt
Organism: Epinephelus lanceolatus (giant grouper)
Lineage: Eukaryota; Metazoa; Chordata; Actinopteri; Perciformes; Serranidae
Source: RefSeq, a predicted model, not a curated record